Podarcis lilfordi (Lilford's wall lizard) is the source of this 77-nucleotide non-coding RNA. NCBI's taxonomy places the organism in Eukaryota, Metazoa, Chordata, Lepidosauria, Squamata, Lacertidae. The record is from the annotation of a GenBank genome assembly.
GCCACAUAGCUGGGAUAGCUCGGUAGAGCAUGAAACUCUUCAUCUCAGGGCUGUGGGUUCGAGUCCCACAUUUGGCA